GACGAACGCUGGCGGCGUGCUUAAUACAUGCAAGUCGAACGGAAAGGCCCUGCGUUUGUGGGGUGCUCGAGAGGCGAGCGGGGGAGUAACACGUGAGUAACAUGCACUUAACAUUGGGAUAACUUCAGGAAACUGGGGCUAAUACAGGGUAGGAGCUACUGCAGCAUGGGGGGGAAUGGAGAGAUUCGGCGGUUGGGGCUAGAAUAGAGGCUUAUCAGCUUGUUGGUGGGGUAGGGGCUUACCAGGGCUUUGAGGGGUAGCCGGCCUUAGAGGGGGACCGGGCUCCUGGGGACUGAGAUACGGCCCAGAAUCCUACGGGCGGCAGCAGUGGGGAAUAUUGCACAAUGGGCGGAAGCCUGAUGCAGCAACGCCGCGUUCGGGAUGACGGCCUUCGGGUUGUAAACCGCUGUCGCCUGUGAUGAAGCGUGAGUGACGGUAAUGGGUAAAGAAGCACCGGCUAACUACGUG
This 468-nucleotide ribosomal RNA is filed under the name uncultured bacterium. RNAcentral's name for it is "partial 16S ribosomal RNA". It matches the Rfam family "Bacterial small subunit ribosomal RNA", at positions 28 to 507 of the family's 1533-position model. The record is from RNAcentral.